This 253-nucleotide ribosomal RNA is filed under the name uncultured bacterium. RNAcentral's name for it is "partial 16S ribosomal RNA". It matches the Rfam family "Bacterial small subunit ribosomal RNA", at positions 524 to 776 of the family's 1533-position model. The record is from RNAcentral.
UACGGGGGGGGCAAGCGUUGUUCGGAAUUACUGGGCGUAAAGGGCGCGUAGGCUGCUCGUUAAGUCGGGUGUGAAAACUCUGGGCUCAACCCAGAGCCUGCAUUCGAAACUGACGAGCUAGAGUUCUGGAGGGGAAAGCGGAAUUCCUGGUGUAGCGGUGAAAUGCGUAGAUAUCAGGAGGAACACCGGUGGCGAAGGCGGCUUUCUGGACAGAAACUGACGCUGAGGCGCGAAAGCUAGGGGAGCAAACAGG